UUCGUAGGCGGUGCGGCAAGUUGGGAGUGAAAUCUCUGGGCUUAACUCAGAGGCUGCUUUCAAAACUGCCGCGCUCGAGUGCGAGAGAGGUCAGUGGAAUUGCAGGUGUAGCGGUGAAAUGCGUAGAUAUCUGCAGGAACACCCGUGGCGAAGGCGGCUGACUGGAUCGCAACUGACGCUGAGGAACGAAAGCUAGGGGAGCAAACAGGAUUAGAUACCCUGGUAGUCCUAGCCCUAAACCAUCAGGACUUGGGGUGGCCCGCGUAGGCGGGUCGUCCCGUAGCUAACGCGUUAAGUCCUGCGCCUGGGGAGUACGGUCGCGAGACUGAA
Molecule: ribosomal RNA, 330 nt
Filed under: uncultured bacterium
Lineage: Bacteria
Description: bacterial SSU rRNA
Rfam family: Bacterial small subunit ribosomal RNA
Source: RNAcentral